GUCUAUAGUCAUGCCACCUUGAACGUGCCCGAUCUCGUCUGAUCUUGGAAGCUAAGCAGGGUCAGGCCUGGUUAGUACAUGGAUGGGAGACCACCUAGAAAUACCAGGUGCUGUAGGUG
Molecule: ribosomal RNA, 119 nt
Filed under: Pteropus alecto (black flying fox)
Lineage: Eukaryota; Metazoa; Chordata; Mammalia; Chiroptera; Pteropodidae
Source: RNAcentral